This is a transfer RNA of Neurospora crassa OR74A, 157 nucleotides long. It matches the Rfam family "tRNA". Rfam says of the family: Transfer RNA (tRNA) molecules are approximately 80 nucleotides in length. Their secondary structure includes four short double-helical elements and three loops (D, anti-codon, and T loops). Further hydrogen bonds mediate the characteristic L-shaped molecular structure. tRNAs have two regions of fundamental functional importance: the anti-codon, which is responsible for specific mRNA codon recognition, and the 3' end, to which the tRNAs corresponding amino acid is attached (by aminoacyl-tRNA synthetases). tRNAs cope with the degeneracy of the genetic code in two manners: having more than one tRNA (with a specific anti-codon) for a particular amino acid; and 'wobble' base-pairing, i.e. permitting non-standard base-pairing at the 3rd anti-codon position. The record is from Rfam. NCBI's taxonomy places the organism in Eukaryota, Fungi, Ascomycota, Sordariomycetes, Sordariales, Sordariaceae.
GGUCACGUAGCGGAGUGGUUACCGCGAUGCUCUUGUGAGUCUUGACCCCGAAGAUACCUUCUCCAAAGUGUUUGUCCCAUACUAACACACGCAAUUAGAUACCUCCAAGCCAUUGGAAGUUAUGCAUAGGUCCUGGGUUCGACCCCCAGCGCGACCA